UCCGGUUUGUCACCGGCAGUCCCAUUAAAGUCCCCAACUAAAUGCUGGCAACAUGCGACAGGGGUUGCGCUCGUUGCGGCACUUAAGCCAACACCUCACGGCACGAGCUGACGACAGCCAUGCAGCACCUGUGCAGGGCCCCGAAGGACACGGGCUUUCACCCGCUUUACCCUGCAUGUCAAGCCCAGGUAAGGUUCUUCGCGUUGCAUCGAAUUAAGCCACAUGCUCCGCCGCUUGUGCGGGUCCCCGUCAAUUCCUUUGAGUUUUAGCCUUGCGGCCGUACUCCCCAGGCGGGGUGCUUAAUGCGUUAGCGUCGGCACGGAAAGGGUUGAAGACCUCCCCACACCUAGCACCCAACGUUUACGGCUGGGACUAC
Molecule: unclassified non-coding RNA, 376 nt
Filed under: uncultured Actinomycetes bacterium
Lineage: Bacteria; Bacillati; Actinomycetota; Actinomycetes
Description: uncultured actinobacterium contains 16S-23S intergenic spacer region
Source: RNAcentral